AUGCCAAGAAGCAGCUCGAGGACAAGGAAGGUGAGUAACACCUUAUUAAAAUUGUACCUUAUAGAAAAGGAUUUUGGUUGCAAAAAGAAUGACAAGGAUAACAUGGGUAUUGCAGGGGCCACUAACGAGGUGGCGACCCUGAAAGAGGCGGUGGCCGCGGCCGAACGCAAUGCGGCCGCGGAGCGCACCGAGCGAGAGAAGCAGGAGGCGCGGGUGGCGGAGGUACAGCAAGAGCUCCAGGAUCUCGUGAAAAAACAUGAGAGCCUGGAGCGUGACUCGAAGACUCGAGAGUCUGAGCUUGCAACGGCUCUUGAGAGUGCCAAAGCCACUAAGGCCGAAGCCUACAAGGCCCUCCAGGAGAUUGAGGCGGUGAAGAAAAUAGCAGCGGGUAAGGCAUUUUUCAUGCAAAGUAAGCAUGUGAGUGUUAAUUACUUGUUGCUUACCCGAAUUCGGAGCUCUCGAGGAGCGUUCGCAGAUCUUCCUCACAGCGUGUCCGAUGCUGCCGCAUUCUACCGGGCCGAGGAGGGGAGCUCGAUGGAGAAGGUCUUCUGGUCUCAGUAUGAUAAGGCCGGACAUCCGGUGCCCCUUAGCGACCACCUGAAGCAGCUGGUCGAGCUCCACAAGGCGGCCGAACAGGCCAUGAAGGGCCUCAUAGUUUGGCUGUGGCCUAAGGAGGCCAUGCCUGGGAGCUACUUCGGCCUGGUGCGGCGGCUGGUGGGUGCGUGCUCGUCGGUUGAAGUCAUGAAGCACUCCGCCUGUAUUGAGGGUGCCCGUCGGGCUCUUGCCUGCACAAAGGUGCACUGGGGCAAGAUGGAUGCCCAGAAGCUUGUGAAGGACCCGCUACCAGAGGGCAAGGAGCAUCGCACGCCCGAGAUGUAUUAUAAGAGUGUGCUGAAGGGCGCCCGCACUAUUGCGGGGGAGUGCUCCAAAGAUGUAAUUUUUGAGUAG
RNAcentral lists this ribosomal RNA (948 nucleotides) under Triticum aestivum (bread wheat). RNAcentral's name for it is "partial small subunit ribosomal RNA". Lineage: Eukaryota; Viridiplantae; Streptophyta; Magnoliopsida; Poales; Poaceae. The record is from RNAcentral.